This 70-nucleotide transfer RNA is filed under the name Pentapycnon charcoti. Its description in RNAcentral is "tRNA-Leu". The record is from RNAcentral. Lineage: Eukaryota; Metazoa; Arthropoda; Pycnogonida; Pantopoda; Pycnogonidae.
UCUAAUUUGACAGAAUAAGUGUAUAAAAUUUAGAGUUUUAUUAUAAAUAUAGUUAUAUAUUUAAUUAGAA